GUGCUUGCUUUGGCAGCACAAAUACUAAAAUGGGCAUGGCCUCUGUAUAAGGAUGCCAUACAAAUUAAGGAAGUGUUCUAUAUUUAA
This 87-nucleotide small nuclear RNA is filed under the name Neogale vison (American mink). Lineage: Eukaryota; Metazoa; Chordata; Mammalia; Carnivora; Mustelidae. The record is from RNAcentral.